CUUGGCGACCAUAGCGUUUCGUACCCACCUGACUCCAUUACGAACUCAGAAGUGAAACGAAAUAGCGCCGAUGGUAGUGUGGGGCUUCCCCAUGUGAGAGUAGGACAUCGCCAGGC
RNAcentral lists this ribosomal RNA (116 nucleotides) under Vibrio parahaemolyticus. The record is from RNAcentral. Lineage: Bacteria; Pseudomonadati; Pseudomonadota; Gammaproteobacteria; Vibrionales; Vibrionaceae.